GCUUUGGUAGCUCAGAUGGUAGAGCGUGCGGUUAAAGACCGCGUGACCGCUACGGUCGCAGGUUCGAAUCCUGCCUCGGGCA
Non-coding RNA from Schistocerca americana (American grasshopper), 82 nucleotides. Lineage: Eukaryota; Metazoa; Arthropoda; Insecta; Orthoptera; Acrididae. The record is from the annotation of a RefSeq genome assembly.